Molecule: small RNA, 2182 nt
Filed under: Pan troglodytes (chimpanzee)
Lineage: Eukaryota; Metazoa; Chordata; Mammalia; Primates; Hominidae
Description: processed transcript
Source: RNAcentral
GCGAGUCCUCCGCCGCAGUCUCGGCUGGCCGCGUCUCUGCUCCUGGAGGGUCCGCUUUCGGCGUCCGCUCCCCGGCGCGCUCCUUGCACUAGAUGGCUGGUCUGCGGUGUUCUUGCCCGGUUAGCGCCGGGUCGCUUCCGGUCUCCGCGGCGCCGGCGGGGACCGGGUAGGCAGAGCACGUGGGGCGACGCUGACCAGUCAGCAAGGCCCGGCCGAACACGCUCUGCAGAACUGGGAAGAAGCGGGCCUCGGGUCUCCCUGUGAUGAUGACAGCCUCUUCAUCUAUGACUGCAGUGCUGCAGAAAAGAAGUCACAAGAAAAUAAAGGGGAGGACGCGCCCUUGGACCAGGGGAGCGGUGCGAUUCUGGCGUCCACCUUCUCCAAGUCUGGCAGCUAUUUUGCUUUAACCGAUGACAGACCGUGGCAAGGAGGUGUACAGCCCUGACCUUCAUAGCCUCGGAGGAGAAGGUCUUGGUGGCCGACAAGUCUGGAGACGUCUACUCCUUUUCGGUGCUGGAGCCACACGGGUGUGGCCGUCUAGAGCUGGGGCACCUGUCUAUGCUGUUAGAUGUGGCUGUGAGUGCUGAUGACCGCUUCAUCCUCACUGCCGACCGGGACGAGAAGAUCCGAGUCAGCUGGGCCGCGGCGCCCCAUAGCAUCGAGUCCUUCUGCUUGGGGCACACAGAGUUUGUGAGCCGCAUCUUCGUGGUGCCAACUCAGCCCGGGCUGCUUCUGUCCUCCUCUGGGGACGGCACCCUGAGGCUCUGGGAGUACAGGAGCGGCCGCCAGCUGCACUGCUGUCACCUGGCCAGUCUGCAGGAGCUGGUGGACCCCCAGGCCCCCCAGAGGUUUGCCGCGUCCAGGAUUGCGUUCUGGUGCCAGGAGAACUGCGUGGCGCUCCUGUGCGACGGCACUCCUGUGGUCUACAUCUUCCAGCUGGACGCCCGCAGACAGCAGUUGGUGUACAGGCAGCAGCUGGCGUUCCAGCACCAAGUGUGGGAUGUGGCUUUCGAGGAGACCCAGGGGCUGUGGGUGCUCCAGGACUGCCAGGAAGCCCCCCUGGUGCUCUACAGGCCUAUGGGCGACCAGUGGCAGUCUGUUCCUGAGAGCGCCGUGUUAAAGAAAGUCUCUGGUGUUCUUCGUGGGAACUGGGCCAUGCUGGAAGGCUCUGCCGGCGCAGACGCCAGCUUCAGCAGUCUCUACAAGGCCACGUUCGACAACAUGACCUCCUACCUGAAGAAGAAAGAGGAGAGACUGCAGCAGCAGCUAGAGAAGAAGCAGCGGCGCCGGAGUCCCCCGCCUGGGCCCAACGGGCAUGCCAAGAAGAUGAGGCCGGGGGAGGCGACGUUAAGUUGCUGAUCGUGGCGGUCAGUGGUGCCUCUCACCUCAAGUUAGGAAAAGCUUUUUAACUUGUUCCCCUGCAUCCUGGCAUGUCCCUUUAAGAAGGAAAAGGUGACGUCAGUUGUGACCAGCUCAGAGGAUGGGGCUGUCCCCUGGGCUCUAGAAAGAACAUUCUGUGUCACCAGCACAGGCUCUUGCUGGGUGCCUGUGCCCCCUUUCUGGUUGAAGGGAAGCCAGACCAGUGGAGUGGAAGCUCUUGAAGCACUUUCUUUUCAUGUUGGAGGCUGCGUGUGAGCCCGUGGUGGCGGCAGCUGUCUGUGUUUCUCCUGUUCUCAUACCGCCCUUCGUGUCUGCUGCGUCUUCCUCUAGGAGCAUCUGUGGGCAGACGUUUCUGGCAUGGUGGAUGUUGUCAUGUUGUUCCGCCGUCUCAGCAUCCAGGUGACGUGCUGUCCCGCAGUAGCUGCUCGCCACACAGGCUGUUGAAACUCAGCACGAAUGCUUCAGCCCGCCCCAGCCCCAGCCAUAGCCCUUGUGCUCAGGAGCUGCUCCUGGAGAGUGGCUCCCUUGUGGGAAGUGAGAAACACGUUUCGGAGUCACAGGGAGCUCUGUCUGGCAUCGGUGGCGCAGAUGGUGAACUUGUUUCAGGAAGUGUGAGCAUGGGCCUGGCUGGCACCCGGUUUACAGGGAGGUGAUUGAGGACGUCGUUAUGAUUUGAUUUGACCUUGGCACACACUGCAGAGCCACAGGGAUGUUGCUGAAUUUCAAUCACCGAUCAGCAAGGAUGAACCUUCUCAACUUCCUAGGAAUGUUUAGCAGCAACCUAAUAUACCAGGCAAAACUC